AACGAACGCUGGCGGCAUGCCUAACACAUGCAAGUCGAACGAGACCUUCGGGUCUAGUGGCGCACGGGUGCGUAACGCGUGGGAACCUGCCCUUAGGUUCGGAAUAACUCCCCGAAAGGGGUGCUAAUACCGGAUAAUGUCGUCGGACCAAAUAUUUAUCGCCUUUGGAUGGGGCAGCGUUGGAUUAGCUAGUUGGUAGGGUAAAGGCCUACCAAGGCGACGAUCCAUAGCUGGUCUGAGAGGAUGAUCAGCCACACUGGGACUGAGGCACGGCCCAGACUCCUACGGGAGGCAGCAGUGGAGAAUAUUGGACCAUGGGCGAAAGCGUGAUCCAGCUAUGCCGCGUGAGUGAUGAAGGCCUUAGGGUUGUAAAGCUCUUUUACCCGGGCUGAUAAUGACAGUACCGGGAGAAUAAGCACCGGCUAACUCCGUG
This 433-nucleotide ribosomal RNA is filed under the name uncultured bacterium. RNAcentral's name for it is "partial 16S ribosomal RNA". It matches the Rfam family "Bacterial small subunit ribosomal RNA", at positions 29 to 507 of the family's 1533-position model. The record is from RNAcentral.